UUGACAGAACUCUCCGAAAAAAUUAUAAUAUGGAUGCACUUAUUUUUACUCUUCUUGAUCAGCUGCCUUUGGUCCAAAGAGAGUUAUUUGUGACGAUUAUGUGGAGUAUGUGGAAGCGUAGGAAUUUGAAAUUGUGGCAGCAGCAAAAUGAAACGAUCAUGCAUGUAUUGGAGCGUGCAAAGCAUACCCUGGAUGAUUGGCGAUCAGCCCAACAAAUAUGGUUGCAAAGAGAAGAUGUACCUUUGACGCACCAAGGCAAUUCUAGCGAUAGUAUGGUGGUGGAAUGGUCGAAGCCGGCUUAUGGUAGGUAUAAAUGUAACAUUGAUUCCUCCUUUUCUUCUUCCAUGAAUAUGUGAGUAUCAGGAUUUGUCUUCGUGAUGACAGGAGCGAAUUUGUUAGUGCUAAAACAUAUUGUUUUUCCCCUCUUUGUAAUGUUGUUGUGGGUGAGGCCGUAGGCUUUCAUACGGCGUUGAAAUGGAUGGCGGAACUUCACUAUGAUAAUGUCGACUUUGCUUUAGAUUCUAACAUAGUGGUUGAUCAUUUUCGGUCUUCUUUAGAGAAUGACAAUGAGUUUGGAUGUAUUAUGCAUGCUUGUAAACAAUUGUUUCAGAUUAGUUUUCAGAACUCUUAUGUCGAGUUCAAUAGGAGGCAAACCAAUGGGAUCACUCAUGCAUUAACUAAGGUAGCCCCAUCUCAUGCUAGCUUCCAUGAUUAUGAUAAUGUACCGUCAUGUAUUUCUUUUUUGAUUGAUAAUAAGAAGCAAUGAAUUUCUCCUUUAAAAAAAACAUUAAGUAAGUUUGUAUGAUAAAUUCAAAACUCAAAAUCACACUUACAAGUUAACUUCAAGUUACACAUAAAUAUUAGACAAUCGAGCAAUACACCACUAAGCUUUUUUUUUUUUAUAGCAAAACCAAUUAUUGUAAAGGAGACAAUUUUAUGAAAAAAAUACUCAAAUAUUUUAAAGAGUGUGUUCGAAAAUUAGUAUCUCCACGGACAUCACUUUGGUGAUAUUGAGGUGCCAAUGUCAUGGCCAACCACAAUGUCACAAGUGUGCAAAAUGACAAAAAAUGCUUGUUAGUGAGUAAGAAGAAAGUCAUAAUUUUUUAUCAUUUUGUACACUUAUGAUAUUGUGAUUGAUCAAUAUCACCAAAGUGUUAUCCGCAUCUCCACACUCCCACCAUGAGUUAAAGUGUGUUUUUAUUUUAUUUUAAUUAUUUAUUGAAACGUCAUGCGCUAUAGUAAAAAUAUGCCAAUGCCAUAGAAAGAUGGGUAAAUGUGUGGUGGGAUCUAGUCUAUGCAGCUCCAAAUUAGGGCCAAAUAUAUGAAAUCAAUGUUACCUGUCUUUAUAAGCACUUUUAACUCAUAAAAAAACUUCUUUCUUUUAAAAAAAAGACACUCAUACAAAAACUAAAUUUAAACGUACCAAUAACAUGUGGGUAAGAUUUCUUAAAAAAAAUAAAAAUAAAUAACAUGCGGGUAAGAUGUAAGAUGGUUUGAAUCUUUCAAGUAAGAGGUUGAAUAAUGCUAAUGCUAGAGUAACAUUUUCAAUACACUCUAUUGUUGAGUUAUAAUUCAGUCGAGGGUGCCGUUUUCGAUAGGAGAUUUAAAUAGUCUCCUAUGGUGGAUGACUUUAUAAAAAACUAAUUAUUUUUUUUUUUUUAUUUUACAAUAAAGAUAACAUGUGUAAACAUUAGAUGGUUGAAGAACACUGAACUUACUGUAUUCCCUUAACAUUGAAUUUUCUUCCCACUUUCUUCAACCUCAGCCAAAACAACCAUAGGAAAAAAACAUUUUCUUCCUCUUUCCGUUCUCUCAUCUCUUCCGCCGCCGCCGACAUCCUCCUUCCCCACCACCGUAUUCUCCAUCAUCGUCAAAUUAUAUACUUCAUAUUCUUCCUAAUUACUUUUAUCCAAAUUUAUCUUCAUGUGUUCUUCCCAAAUCCAAUCUUCUUUCAUCUUCACCAAUUUGUUCUUAAAAAUCCAGAUCUAAAAUCAAUAACCAAUCUUUCCUUAAGGAAUUUAAAACCUGUUAACGAUGCAACUUUAAUUAAUAAGAAAGAAGACCCACCAAUAUGAUGAAACUGGCACAGCAGGAUAGGAUUGGACUUUUAUCAAUGAAAUUGAACUAGCGCCACACAACAUUAACAAAGGCUCACGACACCAACAACAUGAAGGAAGCAAACCCACUACACAAAUAAAAUUUAUACAUCCUUAAGACAUGUCGUUGCUUUCCACCCAUUACACAAACACCAAACCCCAUCAUUCUCUUAAUCAAGAAGACAACCUACCCACUGAACUCUCUCAACAAAGCCUCAAUAUUGUUUUGUUUAAUUGAAUUAUAUUUUAAUGAUUUUCUUGUUCAAUUGAUGUUUGUGGUAUUCCUGUUCAUAAAAAAUAAUUGAUGUUUUUAACAACAACAGCAAUUAAAAUAUGAGAGGGAUUGACCAAAGAGUGGAAGUGUACGGUGUUAAAAGAAGGAUGAUGGGGUGGUGGUGAGCGAGUAGGGAAUAAGCAGAGACAUGGAGAGGGUUAGAGAAGGAUAUAUGAUGGAAUAGUGUAAAAAGUAUCUAGUGUUGAGAGAGUAUAAUAAUAUCAUGGUCAUCAAAAGUUUUCAAAUAUAUCCAAUGAUUAACAUCUAUUUUACAAAAACAAAAUAAAAAAAGUCAAGUCUCCUACGGUAGGAGACCUAAAGAGAUCGCCUACCGUAGCCUUUGCCUUCAGUCGAAUAUAAAUGUAUGUUAUAAAGGACAUACGUGAUUAUGUAACGUGAAUAUGUUACUAACACUCUUUCAAAAGUUUUAAAACUUAUCUUCUUUAGAUUACUACUAACUAACACUGAGAAUAACAGUCGCCCAAUAUUAUAAUUAUAUAUUCCAUGUGAGAUUAGUCACUUGCUCAGAAUGUAGAUUAUCAAAUAUCAUAUUCUCAUAAUUAUAUUUAAAACUUAUCUUCUUUCUUAGUGCAUUUAUAAUGAUGGAUAUUUUAGUUAUUUAACACAAAUUAAAGCUAAAUUGGGAAUUUCUAUGAAACACGGAUAUGUACAUAGAUAUUGGAAACGAUACAGAUAUCGACACACCGACGCCUUUAAUAAUAUGAGAAAAUCAUAUAAUUUAGUAUAAUUUAUAAGUAUCAGUGUCGGACGCGACUCAUGUUCGACACCGGAACACGCCUUAUUCAAGGAGUGUCUUUGCUUCAUAGGACAUGAAUAUCUAUAGAAAAAUCCUCUUUUUCUUCUGUAUUUGUGGCUUCCACGUAACAAAUUUUAUUAAAAUAAACUACCAAUACACUUUUUUUUAAUAAAAUUUAUUACGUGAAAUACAAUGAUACAAAAUUAUUGAUAAAACCUAUUUAACAUUUUUUUUUUUGAAUGAUAUAUACACGAGACAUUCUUAAACAUCCAGACACAGGGGAGGGGAGCUUUUAUUAUAGAUGCUACGUAGUUUAUCACUCAGAGUUGUUCUCUUUUGUUUUUUGUAAAUAGUUGUUGUUACUAUUAUUUACCCAACCAAUAGCCUUAGGUGGCAUAAAUAUGUAUUCAUCAUAGACGUGACAAUUUUUAAUGCAAGACAGUCAAAACAGUAAACAAUUAAUAACAAUAAUCAGAGCGAAAAUAAAAAUAAAAAUUAUACUAAAAAAUCCAGGUUGAUAAAACAAUUGCUCCCUCAAGUACUUUCAAUUUCAACAAUACUAACCAAUAAAAAAAAAGUACUUUCAACAAUACAGUAUAAAAUAUAAAUUAUUGUUGCAAAAUAUUCAUGGCAAGUCAGGACGAAUAAAUUACGAGAUAAAUUAUAGACAGGAAAGUACUACGAAUAUCAUUCAGUCAUGAAUUUAGGGGACACUUUUUUUAUAUGACAUCACAAUUAAAUAAGGACAUUCCAUAAAAAAAACAAAAACUACGACCAUAUACAUCUUAAACUUUGGAUCGACUCCUAUAAAGUGACUAUUUAUUAGAAAUAACGAGUCAAACAUGAUUUAUGAUUUACACUUUCCUAAAAAAAAAGAAUAAAAAUAAUUGAUUUGCUUGUAAACAAAUGAUAUUUCUCGCUUAAUUUUGUGGAGUGAAUUGCUUACAUCCACUUUUACAUUCAACAUGAGACAUACAUUUGAUCUAUCAUCAAACUUUUUCUUAAGUAUAGGUCUAUCUAUCCAUUCAGUUAGGACCGUUUCCCCUUAAAUGGAAGUUUCUUUUUUUUUAAAUUUUUUUAUCCACAUACAUUUUUACCAUCGUUGACUCAUGAUAUCAACUAAGAUAUGCCGCUUGGUCACCAUUGCCGAAAGACAUUCGAUACAAGUAGUCGCUCAACUUUAGUUAAAUAAUUGACUCUAAUACCACUAUUCGAGCUAAUAGCAACUGACAAUGGGAUUGAACGCCACAUUAACAUGUCAUUAGCUAGUAUAAAUCACACUUGGCAUACCAUUAGAUAGUAUAAAUAAACAUCUUAAAUUCCUAAUGUAAAACUCCUACUCAAGAUAAAAAAGAAUGGUUACAUAUCUCAGUAAAUAUAGUUCAAUUAAUAAAGACAUCGCAUUAUAUAUGCAGGAAUGGAGUUCAAACCAUAAAUUCCUCACUUAUUAACCUUAAAGGUAAAUUUCUAUCCAGUAUACUAUUAAAAAUAAAAUAAAAUUAUAACACUCAUUUCCCACAUACCAAAUUAUCACCUACAAAUGUAUCAACUCUCCACUUGAUCAUCCAGUAACGAGGAUACUUCACCUCUUCAUAAAUCUAUAUAUUUAUAAGUGAUUUCCAUCCAUGAAUAUGAGAGAAGUGAACAUUAAUAAUCCUAUCUCUCUCUCUUUAUCAAUGUGGGAUUCUCAAGUGUCAAAAUACAUUCGUUCACCUAAGGGUGGCUCUUAGCAUGGGCGAGAGGGACGACCGUCAAAAGCACCAUAUUUUUAAGGGCAUUAAAAUUAAUAUUUUUACUUAGUGGUUAGUAUUAUAUAAAUAUGUUUUUUUUUUUAAAUUGCUUUAGUUGAUAUUAUUGAAAAUAUGUUUUUAGAGAACAUGAUUAUAAAUGAAUAUUUUACAAAAAGAAAAAACAAGAAGAAAGACAUUUAUAUAAUUAAAAGGACAAAGCUUUAUUGAUUCACCAAAGACAACAAAAAUCUUAAGAUUGACCCUGCUUUCACCUCUUAAAUUUUCACUCAUCUGCAUUUCCUUGGAAAUUUGAACUAUUUCCCAACAAGAUGUAAUUUUGUUCUCUUUUAAACAAGUAGAGAAUAUGACUCAUUCACUUAAGUGCAUAUAUUUUUUUUUGACAAACACUUAAGUGCACACUUAAAAUUAAAUAUAAUGUAUAGGAUUGGUCCAUGACCGAGUGAAACAAAAUAUAAACUCUUGUUUGGUUCUUUAAAUAAAAAUAAAAAUAAACAUACUCUUGUUUUGUCAAUUUUUUUUUAGUCAAAUAAUACGGAUUCAAAAAGAUAAAAUGGAUAAGCCCCAAACCCAAAUACAAAAUGGUUGUUUCCCCUAUUUGCUAUUUAUCUUGGAAAAAAAUUGUUAGGUUAUCUCUUAAAGCUUUUAAAAACAUAAAAAAAAUGUCCUUCGAAAUUUAUCUCUUGAACGGUCUCCGCAUUUAUGGGAGACAAAAGAACAACCAUCAAAUACAAAACACUUCCAGGAGUUAUUUACUGGAAGAACAAAAUCGAAUUUUUAAAAAUAAACCUCCGGUAGUUAACUACCGGAAGUGUUAUCAAGGACAAUUUUGUAAUUUUGAAGGGCCUAAAGAGAUAUGGAGGGGGCCUAAAAAGAAACCUCCCAAAAGGCUGAGCAAGGAGAAACAACAAGGCCCAAAGAUAAUUUAGCUAACUGCAUCCACUGUUAUAGUGGUAAUGCUGUAUACGAAAAUAUGUUUAGAUACACCCCCUUUGUUUGUUGUGGAUUAGUAGAUGUUGGUGGACUUUUUUGCAAAAAGAAACGAUAUUUAUUCAUUUAAAUUGAUCGUGUACAUUGAUGUAAAACAAAUUCAAAGCGCUAAAAACAUAAACGAUAUUUAUUCAUUCAAAUUGAUCGUGUACAUUGAUGCAAAACAAAUUCAAAGUCGCUAAAACAAAAAGAAUGAAUCUGCGAACAAAUUCACAACAUCUAUAUUAACAACAUAUAAUAUGAUAGAGGACGUAUGCCUACACAUAUGACUAUAUUUAAGUCUUUGGAAUACUCAUGUCUCGGAUCUUCAAGUUGACGAUGCAAAAGUCAUUGAUUGGAUCUACACUUGAUAAAAACUACUAUUUCAACUUGAAUCAAAUAAACAACGCACAAAAACGGAAAAUCAAAACAAACAAAAUCACGAUAAGACGACGAAAUUACAAAACAAAUGAAAAAAAAACUAAAAAUAUGUGCUUGCUUAAAAAACCAACAUAUGUUUAAUCACACGCUAUAGCAUAAUAAGGACUCCCUCCGUUUUGAAAUAUAAACAAAUUUUACUUUUUAGAUUCAUUCAAUUAAUAAUGUAUGUGGUCCAUAUUAUGAACGACAUACAUCAUUAAUUGAAUGAACUUAAAAAGUAAAAUUUACUUAUAUUUUGAAACAGAGGGAGUAACUAUCAAUCGAAACUUGUCCCCAGCGUCUUUAAUCUAGCAAGUUAAUUCAUAUCAAGUUCUUUAUUUUAGUAUAACAUCAAAAUCUAAAAGUACUUUUUAUUGCAAUUUUUCAGUCUUAUUACUCUAUUAUACAAUAUAUUGCCCCAUCAGACAUUUAACACUAUUAUACAUCUUAUGAAGUAACUUUUUAGAGUGAGAUUCAAGUCUAUUUAACACUUAACAAGAAAAUUAACCACAAAAUGUUAGAAUAGCAGUAUCAUACAUAAGUUAUAACCACAGAAUAUGGUAGAAGAUAUUGAUAAAAUGAAGAUAAAUAUCAGGCAGAAUCAUCAUUUAUAUUUGCAGAUAUUUUGCCUAGUCGUUGUCCAAUAAAUAUCUAAAGGAAUCCCUGCAAAAAUCUUGUUCUAGUUAACUAGUUAAAGUGAAAAACUGUGAACAAAAAACUUCAGAAAAACAUCAUAAUUUUACAGUACUUUUUUUGAGCGUUACUGUUAAUUUCCACCUUGUCUUUCAAUUAGGCUUUUUAAUUAAUAGUUUAAAUUCAAUAACUAGUUCUCCUUGAACCACUAAAAUUUUCAGCCACACAUGUAAAAGAUCCCUUAUUAUCUUCAACAUUGUCACAAUAGUAAUUAUGCAUUGCUACUUUAAUUGGAAAAUUGUAAGUAAAGCCUCUUUCUUCUACUUGCAUAGUAAAUGACAAAACCUAACUCAAUCGACAAUAAAUUUGUUAUAUAUGCUAGCUAUAUACUUUUGUACCCUUAAUGCAACGAGGUGUUCUAUACCAAAUGAUGCUGAUAAGAAAUCUUAGCAUGAAGGACUGUUCUCUUGUCCACAAAUAUACAUAUGGUUCUUGUUGACACAACAAUAAAUCUUCUAGCUGUCAUUAAAAUGUCUGUUCAUGACCCUCUUCUUCUGCCCAUGUGAUGUUGGACCACAUCUAAUUACUUCCCUUUUUCCUUUUUGUUUUCAUUCUGUUAUUGUUUUGUUUCACCAUGAAAAACAUUACCUGGUUCUCUAAAAUUAAGGAAAAUAAUUGCUUUGUCUGUAAACUGUUUUUCUUAAUUAACUUCUUGACAUGACGUAUUUGUGGGUUGUUAUAUUCAAAAUGAUGUAGAUUGAUGACAUAUAUAUAUUUUAAGGAAAAUGCUAACAUGUGUCUCUGAAGGACUAGUUAAGGAAAUAAGUAUAAUAGGAAUUUCUUGGAACUUAUGUAAUCAAGUAUUUAAAAGUGGAGAAAAUACUGACUUCAAUACUCCCUCCGUCGCAAUUUAACUGAGUUCUUUGCUUAUUUCACACUUAUUAAAAAAAAUAUAUUAAUGAAGGAAAGAGAAAAAUGGUUUUAAGCGCUCUUGUCAAGUAUUGGUGCAUUUAUCAUUAUCAUAAAUGCAAACUAGAAUAUAUUGAAUUGGGAGUGAUGAAAGUAGUAUUAAUUAGAGUUAUAAUUGGAAAAAGGAAUUAAUAUUGCAUUAAAAAGUGAAUAUGUCAGUUAUUUUAGGACAAUAUUUUGACAAAAGGAUCAGUUAUUAUGAGACGGAGGGAGUAUAAAACUUACACCCUCUGGUCACUAUUAUAAAAACUUUAAAUUUUAGAUUCAUUCAUUAAAUAAUGUAUGUGGUCUAUAAUAAAGACCAUAUGCAUCAUUAAUUGAAUGAAUCUAAAAUGUAAAAUUUUACUUAUAAUAGUGACCGGAGGAUAUAUCUUUUUUGUUUCCUUAACUGGUGUCCCGGAACACCGAUAAACAUGACUAAUUUUUCAACUUCAAUAUAUGUUAUUAGCUAGGAUUAUAGUUAUGGUUAUUAGGAUUAUAGUUAGAACUCAUGAUUUUAAUAACAACCGUUCAACCAUUGAUUAUGUUGAAAUUUAAGUGUGAGUUAGUCUCACCUCGAACUAAGAAUAACUUCAUUAAAUGAUACAUAAGAGAUGUAAAGUAAAUACUAAAUACUUUAAGAUUUUGGGUGGAAAUAUAACGUGCAUAACUCAUAGAGUCCGUUCACUUUUCAUAUUACUUGUUUUCAUUUUCAUUUUUCAACUAAUAAAAAAUAAGAGAAUAUAGAUCCAACAUUUAGUAUUUUGAGAAAUUUUCAAAAUGCAUUCCUGCUAGUUUUCCUAUCUUCUCUUAAUCACAAUUGUUUAUUACAUAAGUCUUCUAUCUCUCUCCUUGCAAACAAUUUAAAAUAAAAUAAACAUAAAUUUUAGAAAAUGAAAACAAAUAUGUCUUUCGAAAGUAAAACGCUUUAGUAGGAAUCCUCAUCUUUAGUUUGUUGUUGCUCCUGAUGCUUCUCCAGGUUCUUGAUUUGAUUUGAUGGGAGAGCGGGAGUGAACUCGGGUGUGAUUGAUUAAAUAUAGUGAUGUAGCUGAUUCACACUUGAGGAAGAGUUUGUUGGAAUUCAAGUGUGAGUAAUUAGUUCCACUUCAACUAAACAUGUAAAAGAGACGACUCAUAAUACUCUAACUGCCUUGAGAGUUUUUGAUAAAAGUGUAGUGUUAAUCUUUAGCCUAGUGUUCCUUCUCCAAACUCCUCAACAAAUUAUGACUUCAACUUAAAAUCUUAAUCUAGCUUUUUUUAGGGGAAAAUCUUAAUCAAAGUUAACAUUGAUUGGUUAACACUUUGUCCAACCUUAAAUAUAUUUUCUAUCCUAUUGACCUUUUCAGUUUCAAGACCCAAAAUGGCAAUAGCAAACAAGUUUUUCCUUUUACUGAUCAAAUGAUUUAUUAAUUAUGAAAGAAAAGGGAGGGGUAGGGGACCUUUGUCAGCUGGAAUGUCCCAUAUUUUAUAGCAUUUGUCAUUUAGUGCUGCAUUGGAAUAUGCUUACCCUCCAACUUGCAACAAAAUUUCUUAUAUAUAACGCCAUUCUAUAGCAAGAAAUCUUCAAUCCCACAUUCACAUUCAAACCAAAUUCAUCAUCAAACAAACCCAAACAUGAUUCAAAUCAUUUUCCUCCUUUCACUUUUCCUAUCCAUUUCCAAUGCUUCUGUUCAAGAUUUCUGUGUAGCAGAUAUCAAAGGCUCAGACACUCCUUCAGGCUACCCUUGCAAGCCAGCUUCAACAGUAACCUCAGAUGACUUUGCAUUUGAAGGCUUAAUUGCACCUGGAAACAUAACAAACAUUAUCAACGCCGCCGUUACACCUGCAUUUGUUGCUCAAUUUCCAGCUGUUAAUGGUCUUGGUCUCUCUGCAGCAAGGUUAGACCUUGGUCCUGCUGGUGUUAUCCCACUUCACACUCACCCUGGUGCCAGUGAACUUCUUGUUGUGACACAAGGUCACAUCACUGCUGGAUUUGUUUCAUCAGCUAACACUGUUUAUAUCAAGACAUUGAAGAAAGGUGAGCUUAUGGUUUUUCCACAAGGUUUGUUGCAUUUUCAAGCUACUGCUGGUAAGAGAAAUGCUGUUGCUUUUGCUGUUUUUAGUAGUGCUAGUCCUGGACUUCAGAUUCUUGAUUUUGCACUUUUUGCAAGUAACUUCUCUACUCCUUUGAUCACUAAGACCACUUUCCUUGAUCCUGUUCUUGUCAAGAAGCUUAAGAGUAUUCUUGGUGGCAGUGGUUAAGUAACUAUAUAUGUGUUCCGACCUCAAGUCACAUUUCCGAGGUAUCUUCUGGUUUGAGGUACUGUGUAAGUCCGCACGGUUUUGCUCUUUGUAAAAGGCAUCUGAGUGGACUAAGAAGUGUAGAUGUUUUUAUAAACUACCAUUGACCUUGAUUCUGAAGUAAUGUGGAAUUUUUUGGUGUACCGGAACAGUAUGCUUAUAUUUUAUGUUCAUUGAUAGUUGUUAUUUGAUUCAACCAAUUUUCUUAUUUUUUUUUUUUCUUUCUUUUUUUGAGUUCAUUAGUUCCUUGUAUGUAAUUGAAUUCCUUGUAUCAAUGUGAAGUAAUAAAUUUGUGAGUAUGGUUUUAUUUUUUCCAUUUGUCUGUUCCACAACUAUAUGUUGAGAUUAAUUUGUGUAGCUAUAUAUUUUGAAGGACAAUUUGAUCCAAUUUCCCAUGUUGAUAUAUAACCUGCAUGUCACUGUUAUGUUGAGAUAAAGUUUUAUCUUAUUGAUUUCUCUUUUCUAAAGAUGAUAGUUGUCCUAAUUCAAUUUGGCCCCACUCCAACAAUGGGUGCAACAUGUUGUAUAUAAAUUAACAGCUAAUAUUUAUAUAAAAUGACAAAUAUAUAUAUAUAUAUAUAUAUAUAUAUAUAUAUUUUAUGAAAUUUUCAUGAGUGUUAAAAUUUGAACUUAAUUUACCAAUAUGAUUGGGAGAGUUGGUAAAUUCAAUCUCCCCCUAUUUUUUUUUUUUAUUCCCUAAGUCGCUUAUUUGAGAAGCAAUCAGAUAAAUAUAAAAACAAAUGUUCUACCGUUAACUUGAUGAUUGGUUUUAUAGCGAACAUUUCAAAGUAAAAAAACUUUACUUUGAAUAGUAAAGUAAAGUAAACUAUUCAAAAUAUACACCAAUUUUUGAAUAGUUUGUUUACUUUAAUUUUCUUGAUUUAAAAACAUGAUGAUCACUUGCAUUAUCAUUGUUUUUGAGAAUUAGCAAUUCAUUUGACCACUGCCAUAAAUUGGAAUACGACUGAUAAAUGCGUGACAUGCAAAUUGUAAUUUGAUCCAAAACUAGGCCACACACUUUCUUAACUGACAGCACAAUUAUUUAACUGAUAUGCAUGCACCAAUUUGCAAAUGAUAUAACGUAAUUUAUAAGAACUAAAAUUGUGUGUAGGACGCCAAACGGUCGCAGAAACUAAAAUGCUGGAGCAAAAUAUCUAGAACAGAGCACCCAUUUGAUAUUUGAUGGUACAAACAAAGAAUCCUCUAUCUUAGUUGAUGUUAGCACAAUAACAAUACAUGCCGUCUGUAAGUGCAACUUCAAUUUAUUUUUAUGUUAAAGACCAAACUGUCUUGGAUUUUUCUGUUUGAAAUUAAAAUGAAACUUAGCUCCUAGAGAAAUGUUAACCGGUGCCUCCGGGACACUGGUUAAGGCAUUUAAAUGGUCCUGAUUCUACAAAAGUCCUUGAGUAAAAUCCUUUAAUUUUGAUUGCGAUUUUACGAGUCCCGAUUUUGCUACUUCCUUUCGACUGGAAGUCUCGAUUUUGAUAACCUUAUUUUGUAAUCCUUAAAGAGUGCCCUGGGGGCACUCGUUAACAAGACCCUAGCUCAUAUUAUGACCCAUACAAACCAAUGGUUUAGACCACCAUGAAUGAAAGUCAACAAAAUCAAUAAUAUGUGCGUCUUUAGCCACCACCAAGAGUGAAGAUUAACACAAUCCAGAAGCCGCUUCAACAUUAAUUCUUUAUUGUGAAAAAUACAGUCAUUGCGCUCCUUUCAAAUAAUUCAGAUAAAAGCCAACCAAAAUACCUAAAAACAACACUAAAUAUCUUUCCUAAACCCACGAGAACCACCAAAUUGUAGAGCAUGCUUGUCAACAUUAGAGUGAUUUACCGUAGAAAUUCGCAGCCACUUUAGGAAAGGGUGCCAAAUGCCUUUGAAGAAAUCACAAUCAAGGACAAGAUGAAUAAUUGUUUCUCCUUCUCGCACCCUCAUGAACAUAGUAAAUAUUCGGCAUGCAGCACACCAAGAUGAUAUAUCCUUCAUCGAGUAACCAUCAAGAUGAUUAUGAGUCCAAACCCAUUUAUCCAAAACUUCAUCUAGCAAGAAAAUGUCAUCUAAAAGAGAAAGACAAUGACAACUGUUCUUCCACUCACGUAAGGAAUUGCCUUCUCGACCGCCACGCUUGUCCAUCAACCCCUCAUCCUUGCCUCCUCAUCUCCGUAACACUAACACACCUAUCAAUACAUAAAUAAAAUAGACGCAUAAAUCUAGACCUCAAACACGCUCCAUGCAAUCAAGGAUCACACCUAAAAGGUGUACUUUCUCCAUCAUCAAUUCUGCGACUCACCCCUUCCUUAGACCAACUCGCUUCCCCUCCCUCCACCCCCUCUCUAAUGACACACAUAUCCUAAUAUGAUUUUCCUCAUCCCCACUAAUUGGAAGACCCAAAUAAACAAAAGAAAAUUGCCUAAUUUUACAAUUCAAAACACAGUCACUUUAACCAACUAAGAUUCCUCUACACUGACACACCAACAAGUAAGCUCUUGUGAAAAAUCACUUUGAGAUCGGAUAUAAGUUAAAAAAGCAUUAAAGUAGCCUUCAAAAUUCUAAUUUUUCCCAAUUGUGUUGUAACAAUUUGCACACAGUGUUAUUAUCUAGUUGUCUAACGUUAGACAACAACCAUGAUUUUUCUCUUAAAGUUUUAACGUUAUAGUCUUAUCUGUUGUUUUUAUGUUCUUUUAUUUUUCUCCAUGUAUAUUUUUCCCAACAAAUCUAAAGUAAUAAAAGAUGAGUAAUGCUCCUUAAACACCCUUUUAAUAAAAGAUAAAGGGUAUGUUAAUCCAGGGCCGUUCCUAGCGUUUUACGGGCCUUAUGCAUAAUAUAAAAAUAGGGCCCUUACAUAAUACAUUAUAAUUUUUUUUAGGUCAUUGUUGUGUUUUUUUAUUUCACUUUUCACUACCAAAUAAAUGUUUUUUUAGAUAACAUCUGAAAAUAAAUUAAAUACUAUAUAUACACCAAAACAAAAUGAAAUAUCGUACAAGUAGAGAAAAAUAGCACAUCCGAAGCAGACUGAAAUUUUAGCACCCCAUUAUCAAAUAAAAUAGAAUUUACUUUGUAAUGAAAAUUAUCUCAAUUUCUUGGAUAAUAAAUAUCGUCGAUAUUUUUAAUAUUAGCGAAGCACAUUAUUAAGAACAAAGGGCCCAAUAAAAUAUCACUAAUUUCUUCGAUAAUAAAUUUUCAAACAUAUUAUUAAGAACAACCAAUUUUUUUUAUAGGAGGGUGUAUAUAGAAAUUUUUGUGCUGCAUGGGAUAUAUAUAGCAAAUCUCACUAAUAGGGCAAAAAACAUUAAUAGAUUUCAGUCCAUUUCUAUAACAUGUCAAAGAUUGGACCUUUUUAGAGAAGUUUACUAUAUAUACCCCCUAAAAUCCAAAUAUUUCUAUAAACACCCUCACCUUAAUUUUUUUUUGAACCCCCUACCAGCAAGGGCCCUAGACCGUCGCACUCGUGGCCUAUGCCCUAGGGCCGGCCCUGUGUCAAUCUGUUGUACCAAAAAUAAAAGGAUAUCAACCUGUAAUUGACGUCAAAUCGAAAGUAAUGCCUUCGUAGCCAUCCCACUAGCUUUAAGAUCUAAACUAAACUUAAAAUUUAGAAAAAGUUGAAAAUAUUAGAAAGUCUUAAUGGUCACCCUUGGGCCUUGGUAUACAUGUGCGUUAGUGUGACAAUAUUAAAGGCUGUACUUAGGACUAAAUCAAUAUUUUAGUUUUAAAAAAAAUGAAAGUUUGACAAUUUAGUUACUUAAAUUUACCAAAAACUAGCUCCAUUGUUAAGUAGUAUAUGACUCUAUUUAUUAAAUCAAGGGAAUUAAGAAAAAAAAAAAUUCCUCAAAAGAAAAAAAUAUUAAAAUUAAUUUGUUAAUAAUUGAUAUAGUUUUACAAGUUGAUCUUUCAGAAGAUAUAAUUAGUUUAUAUAUUCGUCAUGAUAUUAAUUUCAAGUUGCAGUAAAAGAUGUCAUAUGAAAACUCUUAAGAGUUUAAUCUAAUGGUAAAAUGACAAGCUUUGUAUUGAGAUGUUUUUGGUUUGAACAACCUUAGUAUUUUUAAAGGGAUGUAAAUCUAAAUCUUUUUUAGUAUUCUUCACGACUUAAGAUUUUCCUUACCUUGACCUUGAUGCCACACCCCCUCACCCUAAAUUUAUUAUAUUAAUUGAAAAUUGCUUGUUCAAAAAAAAAUAUUAAUUGAAAAUUGUCAAAUAACCAAGGGUAUGAUAAUCCUCUCCUAAAAUAUAAGAAAACUUAGGGGUGUACAAUAAUAAAGAAAUAAUUAGUGCAGUCAAAUUUUGAAUGUCUUAUAAAAAUGGAUAAAGAUUUUUUUUUUAACCCUUCUUAUAUUUAGAGACGGUGAUAAUAAUUAAACAUGUGUAUGUUUGAUAAGGUCAAACCACUAAUUUAUAGUGAGUGACUUAUAUCGUAUAAUCUCAUAUAACUUUUUAAUAGUUAUUCUCUCACGAACUUAUGUCAUUUUUUGAUAUGCUAUCUAUGUAAUAUUUGAGUUUAUAGUUUAUUGUAGUUUACUAGAUUAUAAGCAAAAGAGUGUCUAAAUUUGUUUGACUCAAAUAAAUGUUUUUUAUGCACAUUUAACGUUAGUAAUCCAAAAACUAUCUUUUUGCUUAUAUUUGAGUCGAACAAAUUAUAACAUUCAUAAGCUAGGUUAUGUAAUUUUAUAUUCAUCAGAUAACCAAAUAGAUAGUUUUAUUUCUCUAAAAAAAAUAGAUAGUUUUGUCAACACUUUACAUUUAAACACCAUAAAUUCAUGAGCUAUUAUAUAUUUUAUCCACCAUAAUCCAAUUCACUUUCAUUUUGAACGAUGAGGAAUCAAAUUUUGCCCUCUCACGUGAAAAUUUCACAUGAAAUGAUGAAUUCAUGCAAUGCAAUAACCCCAGUGCUAGUUUAAGUAUUGUCCUCUAAGUUAUAGUCUCAUAAGUCAUAAGAUCUAGUUUGACUUGUCAAAUCAAUAUUUAACUCAUGUUAACGUUACGUUGAAGGUCUUUUACAUGCACAACUAGGCCUAAUGCAUGCAUUAUAAUUAAACCAAUCACCAUAUCUUUAGGCUCAAACAUUGCAAUAUUAAUUCUUAAUUAUGCAAGCAUUACUAUAUAACACCUUACCAACCCCACAUUUCUAUUCACUUACCAAUACCAACACAUUAUUAAUCCAUCUAAACUCAAAAUGAUUUUCAUUAUUUUCCUCUUAACCCUUCUCUCACAUUCCACAACCAAUGCUUCUGUACUAGACUUCUGUGUAGCAGAUUUAUCUUCUUCACAAACUCCUUCAGGCUACCCUUGCAAAAAAUCAGUAACAAUCAAUGACUUUGUUUACUCCAACUUCAAUUCAGGAAACACUUCAACAAAUUUUUUCAAAUUUUCAAUAACUCCUGCAUUUGUUAAUCAAUUUCCAGCUGUUAAUGGUCUUGGUUUAUCAGCAGCAAAAUUAGACCUAGACGUUGGAGGUAUAAUACCAAUGCAUUCACAUCGCGGCGCUUCGGAGUUAAUGAUUGUAGUACAAGGUCGUAUAACUGCUGGUUUUAUUUCUUCUGAUAAUACUGUUUUUAUCAAGACACUUUCAAAAGGUCAAAUUUUGGUUCUUCCACAAGGUUUGUUGCAUUUUCAAUAUAAUGCUGGAAGGAAUAAAGCUUCUGCUUAUCUUACUUUUAGUAGUGAAAACCCUGGUUCACAAGUUCUUGAUCUUGCUUUGUUUGGAAAUAAUUUGAGUUCUGCUAAUUUGAUAAAGAGCACUUUGCUUGAUCCUGCUCAAGUUAAAAAGCUUAAGGCUAUUUUUGGUGGGAGUGGCUAGGGUUUAAGUACUUAGUUUUCUUGUUUUAUUAUCCAAACCAAUGUUGUUUGUUGUUUUGACAAGUAGUAGUAAGGUUUGGUAAUUGUUUUGUCAUUGAAUUCCACUAAUAAAAGUUGUGUGUUUGUUUUCUUCAUUUUUCUGUUUCAGUCCCUAAUGCCAAGUUUGUAAUUAAUUUGGCCAUGGUUUGCAGAUUAACAUAUAUAUAUAUAUAUUGGAUCAAAUUAUAUUUUUCCUUUGGUUGUUAAAAGUAUGAUUCCUAUCCAAUCCCUAUGCAUUUUACUAAUUUUCUAUCCAGCCAUGGUUCUAAUAUUACCUGCAAAAUUAGUAAAUAUUAUCUUUCUGUUGUUAAAGUACGGGUAAUAAGAGUGGAUAAGUGUCCUUCGUAUAUGGCUAGCACCAAACUUAUUAGUUAUUACCCAUGAGGGUAUGUGUUCGGGUGGGAAUUUAUUUAUAAAGGUAUAGAGAUGAAAACUAUAGUAUCUACUCAAAGAAUACUUGUCGUCAUCCCUAAUUGUGCGUUAACACUCCUCAAUUCAAAAUGACAUAAUAGCAUGCUUGUUGAGGAAAAAUUAUUGCCUUUAUUAUAACAAAAUUAGUUAAUUUUUCUUUUGAGGAAAACUGAAUUAGUUAAUGAAAAUUAAGUAAACGACUAUGAAGAUAAUUUAAAUUUAUACAAAUCGUCACUUGACCAAUCUUAUUGCAAUAAAUUAAUAAAAAGUCAUUUCAAAAAGAUUUGUGGCUGAUCCUUAAAAAAUAAAAUCAUUCCGUGACAAUUUUUUUUUAAUCUUUUUUAAAUCUUUAUUCUAAACCUUCAUCUCACUUCUGUCACAUACAACUCAAACAUCCACGUGCAAUCAAUCUCAAUGAAAGAUUAGACUACAGGAUCUUUUAUUAUUACUCUUUGUGUACACGAACUGAAUUCACUUAAGUGUUGCUUAAAAUUCUAAUUUUAGAGUUUACAUGAAUUGAAAGAACAUAUGUUGACUCACUUAUUGUAACCUUACGUGAAAUAAGACAACAUAUGUGUAUGUAUUGCUUUAAAAACAUUGAAGGUAAUAUUAGAAAUGGUGGUUGGGUCUAACACAACCCUACAAAACCGGCUUGUGAGGUGAUGAUUGCCCCCACUUAUAAACAAAUUGUCAAGCCAACUCCUAACCGAUGUGUGACUCUUAACAGGUAAACUGAAUUUAAGUAGGGUAUAUAAACUGAGUUUGCAAAUUACAACUCUAAGUAAAUUAAGAUACUUGAUAUAUAUGUAAACUGAGUUCACAUAAUUUACGUAAAUCGAGUUUACGUAGGCUAUGUAAAUCGAGUUUACAUGGGCUAAUGUAAAGUGAAGUGCUUAAAACUUGAUACACCGCGUUCUUGAAAUAUUGCAUAAAUGGAGAUGAACACUUAAGGGGUUGAACGAUAGUGAAGACAAGUGUUUGAAUCUAAUGGAGAUGAAUGCUUUUGGUUUCUAGAGAUGGAGAGAACGACACAUUCUAGAUUUGCGAUUGGAUUUUGAAUACCAUUGAAAAUUUAUUACUUUUUAUGGGUAUAUUUUUCAUUUCCGGAUGUAACCAGCAUUUUAGGGGUUAUUCUAGAAAAAAUAUAAAUAUUUUAAUUAGUAAAAUUACAACCCAAUAUUUUUUAAUCUUUGAUUUUCUUAUUUAAGUUUUUUUUAGGGUGUAUUACUAUUUCAAUAUAAUUUUUGUAAUAUCUAAUGUCGUGCAAUUAAACACCACCGUUUAUAUCGUGUGUAUAUAUAUAAAUAUAUUUACCUAAUAAUCAUUACGUACCAAAUCUUGAUGAGAUUAGCAGAAGAUCAUCACGUGGACCAAGGGACUUGUAUGAAAUACAUCCUUCACGAAGAAGAGAUCGCUCGCCAGGUUGUGUGGGGUCAUCUCGAAGGACAUGAUUAUGAUAUUAUGGAUAUAUGAUAUAUAUAAAAUAUACAAAAUAUAUGGGGGUUUAUUGGUAAAAAUAAAAUAAAAUAAUACAUGGGGAUUAAUUAUUGCUAAGAAUAAAUUAUUUUGAAAUACUCCCCUAUUUAUUUUAAAUUCUCUUGACCAAAUUUUUCUUUUUUUAAAAUUCAUUGAAAUAAACCAAAAACAAAUACUCCAUUUCUAACAAAAUAUAGACAUAAAGAGGAUCAAAGCGUCAAAUAGUUUUGCUCUCAAUUUUUUUAAUUUUAGAACAUCUUUUGUUUAUGUUUUCGUUACAAAGAGUAUGCAAAAUUAGACUGACUUAUUUUAAUUCAUUUAUAUAUAAUAUAUAAUAGUAUUUGUGAUAAUGUUUGUUAGAACCUAUGAAAAUAAUUUAUAACAUCUAAGUUUAAUUCCAUAAUUUUUCAGAAUAGUUUAUAGAAACAACUUAAAAAAUAUAUUAAAUAUAAAUGUUUUUUUUUGUUUUAAAAAAGUAUAUAGAAAUAUUUAUAUCGAUAAGCUUUAUAUAUAUAUAUAUAUAUAUAUAUAUUAUGAAGUAAAAAAAUCCUUUAUAUAUUAUAAACGAUUAAUUAUUUUGUUUAUUCAAAUAUCACCUCCUAUAUUUUUUGUUGUUGUUGGAAAGACAUCCAAAAACUAAUCAUUUUUGGUGGUGGUCGGGGUUCAACCCUGUAUAUAUUAUGCAUCGUCCCUACCCUUUGAGUUAAGUUCACGAGGACCCAAAAACUAAUCAUUGAUACGCGAUAAAGAUAUAUAUAUAUAUAUAUAUAUAUAUAUAUAUAUAUAUAUAUAUAUAUUGACAAAAAUAAAUGAUAAGCAUUUAUUCAAAUUGAUAGAGUUCAUCGAUACAAUACAAAUUCGAUAAAAAUAAAAAGGAUGAAUUUGCGAACAAACUCAUAGCAUCCAUGUUAAUAUCAUAAAACAACAAAGUACAAAAACCUACUCAUGUAACUAUAUUCAAGUAUCCGGAAUACCCAUGUCUCCGGAUCUGCAACAUGGACGACGCAAAGUCAUAGAAUGAAUCUGCACUAGUCGAAGCAGAUAUGACAAUCUAAACCGAACAAAUACUUGCAUGAAACAAGAAAGACAAACAAUGUUGCACAAAGACGACUAACAAACCAACGUCGCACUAUGACGACAAAAUCACAAAAUAAAAAACAAAAUAGAUGUGAAAAUCACUUAUUACAAUUAAAAGGAAAGAAAAAAGCGAGUUAGAAGGGUGAUUUAGGGUCAAAAAUUGACUCUAAAUCACCUCUAUUUGAUAAAUAUGGGAGAAGAAACUACAGUUUUAGUGACGUCUCACAAGAAAGAAAGAGAAAAGAGAGUUUAUAGAACGAUAUAGGUAUCUCUAAGUAAAUUUGUCAAAAAAAAAAAAAGUGUCACUAAGUAAAACAUAGAUAAAAUAGAGAAUCAAUAUGGAAAUAUAUAAAAAAAAUGCAAACAAAUAGAAGACCGUAGAUAUGUUAAAUUAAUUUUUAGUUAUAAUUUAUUAAAUAAAUUUUUUAUUAAUUAAAUUUGUCAAAAAUAAAACCUUAUUAAUUUAAAUGACUAAAAAAUGAGUGAUAAUGUGUCAACAAAAUUCACUAAAAUCUCUGGCCAUCACCCCUUUCUUCUUCUUGUCUAUUGAAGAGGGAUGGUUUAGGGUCUAUUCUAAGUUCUAACAUAAAAUCAUUCAUCGGAAUUAUUUUUCCUUCUUUUCUAGUUGAAUAAAUGAUUUCCAUAUAUUUUUUAUUCUUCUUUUGUUUGUUUUUGUGAUUUCAUCGUCUUUACACGACUCUAUUUAUUUUAAUUUUUCGUCUUAAUGUGGUGUUUAUUUGAUCCAAAUAUCCACGAGAUCAUAUGGUUUACGUACUGAUUUAUAUUAUAUUACUUUUUUUGAAAUAAUUUACAUUAUAUUACUAAAAAAAUGAAGACGCAUUGGUGGCAUAUGAACUGGGACCGUCAUUGCUUUAUUAUCAUUGCUAUAUGUAGUUUUUAUUUCAUAUGCUUGGGCCUAUAUUAUAUGGUCAGACUGUAUUAUAUUUGGAUCUUCUUACAGGUAAGCUGAAUUUUAUAAAAUUUGAAUCAUCAAGAAGGUAACGUUUUCCAUAGGACAAACAUGAGUUACUAUAAUUUAGACAUUAUCAAUCCUUUGUUUUUUUCGGAUAAUUUUUUUAUAAAUUCUUCUUAUAUCACAUAUUAUAUUUUUUACAUUUCCCUCCCUCUCUACCUCCCUAUAAAUAGCUUGCCAAUUCCAUCGUUCCCUCAUACCAAGUUCAAUAAUCAAUAAUCAUCAUCCAAUAAUAAGAUGAAGAUUAUUCACAUAGUUUUUCUUUUCUCUUUUCUUUCAUUCACUACUUCCCAAGCUUCUGUCAAUGAUUUUUGUGUAGCAGAUUUAAAGGCUCCAGAUACCCCUUCAGGCUAUCACUGCAAACCCCUAGCAAAUAUCACAUCAGACGAUUUUGUCUUUCAUGGCUUCAAAGCUGGAAACACCAACAACUCUUUCAACGCUGCACUUACCUCCGCAUUCGUCACUGAUUUUCCAGGCCUUAAUGGACUAGGAAUCUCAGCAGCGCGGUUAGACAUAGCGGAAAAUGGUUCAAUUCCAAUGCAUACUCAUCCUGGUGCUACCGAAUUAUUGAUAAUAGUUCAAGGUGAAAUAACCGCUGGAUUUCUGACACCUACCGCAGUUUAUUCUAAGACGUUGAAACCGGGUGAUCUUAUGGUUUUUCCACAAGGGAUGUUGCAUUUUCAAAUUAACACUGGUAAGGGAAAAGCAACUGCUUUUCUUACUUUUAGUAGUGCUAACCCUGGUGCUCAAUUACUUGAUCUUCUUUUGUUUUCGAAUAAUUUACCUUCUCAAUUGGUGGCACAAACUACUUUCCUUGAUCUUGCACAAGUGCAGAAGCUAAAGGCACGUUUUGGUGGAAGAGGGUAGGGAUAUGAUAUUGUUUGGUCAUGAUCAUAACCCACUCUCCUUGUGUAAAUGUUUAUUCCAAUAAUCACCUAGUGGUGGAUUUGAUUGUGUGUCUGUGUUAUUUUAUUUUAUUCUAUGUUUUAGCUAUUCCAAAUGUUAUGAUAUAUGGUUACUUGUGAUAAUGAAGUAAUAAAUUGUGUGUGAUACAUUUCUUGGUUCCUCUUUCUAUCUCUCAACCUGUCUCCUAAUUUUUUUGUUGAAUUAUGGCAACAUUUAAAAUUGAAUUGAAGAUUGAAUGAGCACGACCUGGAGAUUAUGAUUUAAUUAGCUCAAUCACUUGAAUCACAAUUGAACUAAAUGAUUAAUCUAUAAAUAAAAAAAGUAAUUGCAAAAACAAAUCUUAUUAAAUUAUUACGAUUCAAUCGGUUCAACCUUAUUCAAAAUGACUUCGAUGCGACUAUGAUUUCUAACCCAUUUUAUUUUAGAUUUAACUAGUUGAACUAAUAAUUUAAUAGAAUAUGCAACUUAGACUUAUUUACCAUUUUUGGGUGUUAGAAGUUAGAAAAUUUUACAUGAUGUGGAUAACAUCACAAUACAAUUCAAAGUAGUGGGCUAUAAUUUAUGAGAAAUGAUAUUUGAACAAUAAUUUUUAACAACUUUUGUGACAACUUUAUCUCUCAUACUCACAUUAAUUUUUUACUCUCUCUCUAUUGCUUUGGUUUUUGUGUCACUAUCUCAUUUCUUUUGCAAAAUUUUGAUUGUCACAAAAGUUGUCACAUGUAUGGAUGUUCAUAUAACACAACUCAUAAUUUAUUCAUUAAAACCUUACUUAUAUAUCAACAAGCAAAACUAGGCGUAAGACGAUUGAGUCAGCCUCUACUUGGUAGUUGGUUCUAAUCUCAUUGCCAUUGCUUCGGUGCAUCAACCUCGAGAGUGUGGAAACGGUAAAUUGGUUUGCGAGUACUGAUUCGCGGUAUUUUAAUGAAUUUGUUUGCGCAAAAUCGUGAGCAAUUCAUAGCAAAGUGCGUACGUGACAGAAGUAUAAAACAAAUCAAACAAGUUUAAUUCAAAUUUCACAUAUUGUAUGUCAAACACAAUAAAUAUCUGACCAACUUGAUAGAAGAGCUCAUCUGCCAUGAACAUGCAGCAACCAUUAGUGCAAACUGUAAAAUUAGGUCAUAGAAAAUUCAAGGCUAAAAUAUGGUUUUAGUCCCUGCAAAUAUGUCUCGUUUUGGUUUUAGUCUCUGUAAAAAGAAAAUUUUGUUUUUGGUCCCUGCUAAAUAAUUUGUUUUUGAAAAUAGUCCCUAGCCCCACUUUUGUGAUGAUUUGCAUACGUGUUACAUUAUAACUGAACCAAUUUUGUAGUUUUUGGUCCCUGCAAAAUAUUUUGUUUUUAAAAAAGGUCCUUGAAUUUUUUUUUUGUUUUUGAAAUUUUUUGCAGGGACCAAAAACAAAAAAUUUUGUUUACAGGGACUAAAACCAAAACGAGGCAUAUUUGCAGGGGCUAAAACCAUAUUUUAGCCAAAAUUCAAAUGCAUAGUAGUGUGUACCACUACCAACCUGGAUGUUGUGCAGGGGCAGCUAAGAAGCUUAUAGUAAAAUGGUCAUAUAGAGAUUAAGGUUCUUGUAUAUGCAAAAACAAUGAUUAUAAAGAGUCAUAUAUUAUAUAUAGGCUUAAAUAAGUAAAAGGUCUCUGUAAGUUGGCGCAUUUUUGGUUUUAGUCCCUGUAAGUUUUUUUGUUGCGAGACAAACCCUGUAUUUACCAAACGUUUUGGAUCUAGUCCCUGCCGUCCAAUUCCGUGAAAAAAUGAUGACCUUGCUAACGGAGCAAUACGUGGCACUUCGUGAGUUGGCACUAGUUGAUGACUGGGGUUAAUAUAGGGACUAAAACCAAAAAUGCAAUUUAACAUAGGGACUAAUUUAAAAAAACGUAAUCAUCAAUUUUUAAAUUUUAAAAACCAGUCUUUCCUUCUUCUUCCUCUCUCUGUUCUUUCCUUCUUCUUCCUCUAUUUGUUAGUUCUUUAAUUGCUUGUGCCCAAAAACUCAAACCUCAUUUCCUUCAACGAUGUCUUCUCAUUCCAUUUCUCAUUCAUCAUCAAAUGAGUUGCCUAUAAGUGCCAAUUACUUCUUUAAGUUCUGCUUCAUUUGUUCCUCCUUGAGUCUCCAAAAGCAAAUCAGUGAUAAUUACUUCCAUUUGUUUCCCCUCGCGCACCUUAAUCUUAGCCCAUCCAACCAAGUUUGUGUCACCAAAAUCCUCCUUAUCACCAGGCCUUUUCCCAUUAAGAAGUUCCAUCAUUACAACACCAAAUGAAUAAACAUCACCCUUUGCAGUGCACCUGAAACUUUGGUAAUACUUUGGUGGAACAUAUCCAGGUGUUCCUGCUAGUGUGCUUACACUGAGAUGUGUAUCAAGUGCACUUAUUAGUCUUGCCAUUCCGAAAUCCAAGACUCUUGACUCCAUUUCAUUGUCAAGUAAUACAUUGCUUGACUUCAUGUCUUUGUGUAUGAUGUGAGGGAUGCAAUUAUGAUGCAGAAAACAAAGUCCUUUAGCAGCACCUCUUGCAAUCUUCUUCCUUUCUUCCCAUGUUAAAAUUCGUCGAUCACAUGUCUUUAUUCUUCUGUGGAGCAUCUCUUCUAGGCUUCCAUAUUCCAUGUAUUCAUAAACAAGUAGCCUCUCUUCUCCUACUUUGCAGUAUCCCAAUAAAGGGACAAGGUUUUUAUACUUGAUUUUUUCUAAGGUUUCCAUCUUAGCCAUGAAUUCUCUAUCACCUUGGCAACUCAGUCGAAUGAGCUUCUUUAUCGCGACACAUGUUCCGUCUUUGAGUGUGGCCUUAAACACUUCACCAAAACCACCACAACCAAUGAGGCUUGCUGCUGAGAAGCCAUUGGUUGCUUCAAUCAACUGUGAGAAUUUAAGCUUUCUCAAUUACCUCUGAAAUGUUGCAAUAUUAAUGCAUAAUGGCUCUUUCUCUUUAUCAAUUUUCCAUGUUGUAGCAGCAUGACAUGCGAAUUGGAGAUGAACAUCCUCAUAAUUUUUCUACAACCACAUAUUGACAACUCAUUUGAUGAUGAUUGACAAAUGGAAUGAGAAUACAUUGUUCCAUGAAAUGAGUUUUUGGUGUUAGGGCGCAAAGCUAUCGAAGGGUGGGAAUGGCAGAAAUGAAGAAGAGAGAAAUAACAUAGUGAGGAAGAAGGUGGAAAUAAUAAGUUUUAAAAUUCAAAUUUUGAUGAUUAUGUUUUUUAUUUUCAUCCCUAUGUAAAUUUGCAUUUUUGGUUUUAGUCUCUCUAAUAACCAAUUGCCAACUCAUCAUAUGCCACAUAUUAGUCCGUUAGCCAGCGAAGCGUUUUUUUGACGGAAACGGACGGCGGGGACGAAUGUCAAAAUGUUAAGUAAAUACAGGGGUUGUUUCGCAACAAAAAAAGAUACAGGAACUAAAACAAAAAAUGCGCGAACUUACAGGGACCUUUUUCUUAUUUAAGCCUUAUAUAUAUAUUGUUCAUCUUCAAAAUGUCACGACGACAACGUAAAUUAAUGCGGCACUGCAAAAAUAAUAUCACUAAACACAAACUGAAACAAAUUUCUAGGGAGAUAUUCCUGAUGGCAGUUGCAUCGUUCAAGACAGAAGUAAUUGUUCUUUAACUUAUUUUCUAAAUACGCAUACAAUUGUAAAACACAGUCAAAUUUUAUUGAGUGAAAUUAUGGUUGGAACGUGAUGGAGAUUUCCAUUCCUCCAAUUCUCUUCGUACACCUCUCUUGUUGUACCCAAUUUCUUCGAAGGCCUUUAGGGAUGGUGCUGUUCGUUCAACGGUGUUACUGCCAAUACAAAAGAUUAACAGUGUUCAAUAAAAUCCUAUAUGUUAGGAAACAAAGUGCUGAAGAAGAAAAAUAAGCACAAUCACAAUAUAAGAAUAUAAUGUUAGGAAACAUGGUAUCCAUGAAAAGAAGGAGAGAAAACUAAGAAACUCUUUCUAUUGAUGAAAAUGGAAUAUUACAAAAUGAGAAAAGUACCCUCUAAUGGGGUGGUUACAAGUUAUUUAUACUACUCUCUACUAGGACUAAUAUGCUACUAAUCUAUAUCUCUAAUAGUCCCCCUCAAGUUGGAAGGUGUUCAAAACACUUCCAACUUGAAAUGAGAAAAUACAAGGAAAGAUGCCAGAAAUACAUUGGCCAAGAACAUAGCAACAAUCAAAGGCUUAUCCAACAAGAGGAAACCACAACUCAAGGUGUAAUCACCUUGGAGGAAGAAGCAGCAAACCAACGCUUAACCACCAUCCGGUAGAAGCCAAUCAUCAACAAAGCCUUAAAAGGCACAAUGCUUAACCAUCAAGAGUUCUCAAUAACUCAAGACAGAAGCACAAGAAGAAGAAGAAAAUGACGCUUAACCAUCCUUGGACAGAAGCACAACGACGCUUAACCAUUCAUGACAGAAGCUUAUCAACAUAGCUUAACCAUCAUGAACAGAAGCACAAGACAAGAAGAGUAAGGAUAUCUAAAAUCAAUGAUGAUCUCCAAAAGAAAAAGUGCAAGGAAGGGCCAAAGUUUACAAUGGAAGGAGGUCAUAUGUUGAACAAACUGCACAUCAAAGGUACCAUGAAGCAACAAGACCAAGGUUCCAAAGUUAAAAAAGAGAUGCGCUCCAAUGCCGAGCCGAGACAAGAAAAACCAAAUGCAAGCCAAUAGAGAUGCAUAGCCAUGUGAGGUGUCUUCAAACCAUAGAAAACAAAUCCAUGUUGAUGCAUUCAAACCAUAGGCCAACAAAUCAAUACUUCCAACAAUGAAGCUUAAGAAAAUACCAACAUAGCCAAAACCAGAAAAAAAAAAAUGCAGCAGUAAUGCUGCACAAAAUAAAACCAAAAUGCAGCUAAGAGACAUCAAAAUGAACUCAAGAAGAUGCUUUAACGGUCUGCCCAAAAAUUCAUCAACGAUCCAGGAACAAUCCCAUGCUUCAGAUAUCAAACCAAGGCUUCCAAAAACGAUCCUAAGCCAUCAAGAAAUAAAUCCAUAGCCAAUGAACAAAAUGCAGUAGCAAUAUGAAGCACUGUACUGUGUUGGAAUAGCAUGCAACACUAACAAAAUGCCUAAUCAGCCUCACAAUUUCAUUUGUUCCUUUCACACACAAGAAUAUAGAGAAACCAUCUGAACAGCUUGGAGUGUACUAAAGGCUUCUUCAAUUACUAUUCAAAAAAUGCUUGACCAUAUCAGAUCCAACACCAUGAUAAGCAAUCAAAUGCCAAACAAAACUUAGCCCACCAGUAUGCAAUAUCUAUAAGACUACCAAGUGUGAUAGCAACACCAUAAAAGAAACAAAGAAGUAUGCCAAAACCAAUGAUAUCCAAAGAGAAUGUAGAACAAACAACCAAGCUGUAAUUGGAUCCCAAAGAAUGCAUCAAAAAAACUAUACGUGAAAGGAAGAUCCUUACAUAACACUGCAACAACAUAGCCAUACACAUAAGUCUGGGUCCGCCAAUCUUCAAUCAUAAUAUAAGAGUACCUUAACAUGAACUGCUCCAAAAAUGUAGUAGUGAUGAAGAGGUUCACAAGAAAAUGCACGCAUAGACCAAUAACGUCAUGCAGCAGUCAACAACAGCACCUCAAAGCAAGUCCAAUGCAAUGUUGGAUCAGAACAAAUUGCAGUGUUACCAACAACCAUCACCAUCAAACUGAACGUAAUAUGCAAUAAGGACCAAAAAACACCAAAAUAUCAAGGUAAUAGAAUCCAACUCUAUCUGCACCACAUGCACAAUUGUAUACAACCAGAGAAAAUGAACUAAUUGCAGCCUUGUCUAAAUAGCAGAACAUAGAACUUCAUCAAAAGAAUCAUGAACCAAGAAUCAAUAUGUUUGCAGUGAGGACUUGCUACAAACAUCUUGUGAGCACAAUAGUCAUAAACUGCAGUUACAAUAAAACUCGCUUAUGAGAAACCGAAUUCUCAAUACAAUACAAUAAUGAAACAGGGAAGAAGAUGAAAUAUCAACGACACAUAGAAUCAAUGCGAAAAAGACGACUCUGAGCCGAAUCGAAAAUUUUAAUGAAGAGGAAUCGCAAAAAAAAAUAAAAUUGAAUCACGGAUUCGAAUCGAAACUGGAAAUUGCGAUCGAGUAAGAAUUCGAUCAAGACUUUUGAAUCACGUGGGAAAUUGAACCAAAACUAACAGAACAAAGAAGAACGAACAAAGAAAAUUGAUCGAGAGAGAAAAGGAAAUCGCCAUUGUAACUGAAUCGCAAACCCUAAGAUUUGGGAAAAAGACACAAACGGAAUCACGAAGCAAUCGAUCGAACAAAAAGAUGUAAAAGAAUCGAAUGAAAUUGAGAUGCAGAUCAAAAGAGAAAUCGAUCGAACAAAUCAAUAACAGAAAAACGAUUCGAGUACAAGACAAAGGAAAAUGAAGAAAAUGAAGUGAUAAAAGAGAAAAAUCAGAACGAAGAAGAAAAGGAAAACAACACGAGAAAAAUGAACUUUUCUCGAGAAAAUGCAGCGGAAAAAUUGUUCAAGGUGGAUACCAAUCAUGCUCUGAUACCAUGUUAGGAAACAUGGUAUCCAUGGAAAGAAGGAGAGAAAACUAAGAAACUCUUUCUAUUGAUGAAAAUGGAAUAUUACAAAAUGAGAAAAGUACCCUCUAAUGGGGUGGUUACAAGUUAUUUAUACUACUCUCUACUAGGACUAAUAUGCUAAUAAUCUAUAUCUCUAAUAUAUAACGUGGAAACUUUAAAACUGGAUAAAAAACCACGACCGUUGUCUAAACCGACAACCAGAAAAUGAUUACUAUGGGAUUUUUUUUACAACACAUAGACUUCUCUCACUCUCACCCCAAUGCUCCAGUACAAUCAUACUCUCACAAAGCAAAUAUUUAAACUAAGUCAGAUAUAAGCUUAAAGUGCUACUGACUGGUGCAUCUACAAACAAAGAACCUAGGUCCAAUAUAUAGUCAUGGUCCUCCCAUUGCUUCACCACACUAAGCGAUGUAGGACUUUUCCAAUAGCAAAUAUUUUUUAACCUCCUUAUUUAUUUAAGAAACUUGACAAUCAAACCCAACAAUCUCCACCUUGAUUGUACGAGUUUCAUCUUUCGCUUCCAUUGUUUAUACUGACAAUCAUACUCCACCAUAAAGAGUAUACUUCACUUGAAACUAGACCUUUCCAAGAAUUUCUCCACGUCAAAACCUUGCUGAAAGAUUACGGUGCAACUCCCAUGUUGGAUUUCAGGAAGUUCUUCAGCCAUCGACACAUCUCACCACACACCUUGCAUUAAUUAAUUUCUUAAACAAUUUAUAAUUAAUUUGUAUCUCGUUUAAAGACUACAAAAUUUCAUUGUGAAGGUUCUUAUCAUGUUCUAGUCAUGCCUACAAAAUUAGGGAACUAAAUUUGACUUGUGAGUAUACGCUUACGCGGAACAAAAUUUCAAUUUUGCAUGUUUUGAUUGAAAAAUCAAAAUAAAUUUAAACGACUUCGAAAUGCAAUGAAACUUUACAGAUCCGUUUUAUGUAUUUUUUUAUAGAUGUCUAUGCAAAUAAUGAGCUCAAAAUUCGAUUUAUAGGUCGAGAUUUCCAUUGUUUUGUUUUUUGAGCUUUUGACACUUUAAAAAUUCAUAAUUAAUUUGUCGUAUGUCGAAAAUUUAUAUAUUUUUAGUGUAAAGCCAUAUUUUAACAUUCUUAACUCGCCUCUAACAAAUCAUGAAAAAAAUUGAAUCUCUCGGUUUCUUUUUUGGACUUCGCAUAUAUUACAGAGUUAUAAAUAAUAAAAAUCUUGAGUUACAUGGUAAGAAUACAUGUUAUUUAAUUACAGGGCCAAUUUUCAGACUUCACGUAUAUUAUAUGAUCAAUUUCAAUUAAUAAUCUUAUUUUAAAUUGUACUUUUGUUGACUAAAUGAUAAAACCUAUUUUAUUUCGAUUUUUUUAAUUAAAAUUAAAAUUAAAAAAAAAGUUUCAAUUUAUGAUUGUUGAUAUAUUAUGUCGCAUGUGAAUUUGCGAUAAAUUUUUUGCCCAAUCUCCAUAAAUUUCCAGACUCCGCCACUGUAUAGUACCUACUCAAAGAAUACUUGUUAUCAUCCCUAAUUGUGCGCUAACACUCCUCAAUUCAAAAUGACAUAAUAGCAUGCUUGUUGAGGAAAAAUUAUUGCCUUUAUUAUAACAAAAUUAGUUAAUUUUUUUUUUGAGGAAAACUGAAUUAGUUAGUGAAAAUUAAGUAAAAGACUAUGAAGAUAAUUUAAAUUUAUACAAAUCGUCACUUGACCAAUCUUAUUGCAAUAAAUUAAUAAAACGUCAUUUCAAAAAGAUUUGUGGCUGAUCCUUAAAAAAUAAAAUCAUUCCGUGACAAUUUUUUUUAUUCUUUUUCAAAUCUUUACUCUAAAUCUUCAUCUGUCACACACAACUAACUCAAACAUCCAUAGACGUGCAAUCAAUCUCAAUGAAAGAUUAGACUACAGGGUCUUUUAUUAAUACUCUUUGUGUACACAAAUUGAAUUCACUUAAAUGUUGUUUAAAAUUCUAAUUUUAGAGUUUACAUGAAAUGAAAGAACAUAUGUUGACUCACUUAUUGUAACCUUACAUGAAAUAAGACAACAUAUAUGUAUGCAUUGUUUUAAAAACAUUGAAGAUAAACUGAAUUUACGUAGGGUAUAUAAACUGAGUUUGCAAAUUAUACAACUCUACGUAAAUUAAGAUAGAGAAUGGAGAGAGAAAAAGGAAGAUAGAGAAUAAGAAGAUAAUGUGAGUAUGAGAGAGAAAGUUGUUAAAAUGUUUUUUUAAAGAAAAAAGUUGUUAAAAUGUUGUCACAAAGUGGAUGUACAAAUAUCAUUUCUCUAUAUAAAAUAUACAAAAUAUAUGGAGGAUUAUUGAUAAAAAAAAACAUGGGGAUUAAUUAUUGCUAAGAAUAAAUUAUUUUGAAAUACUCCCCUAUUUUUUUUUUUAAAUUCUCUUGACCAAAUUUUUCUUUUUUUAAAAUUCAUUGAAAUAAACCAAAAACAAAUACUCCAUUUCUAACAAAAAUAUAGACAUAAAGAGGAUCAAAGCGUCAAAUAGUCUUGCCCUCAAUUUUUUUUACUUUUAGAACAUCUUUUGUUUAUGUUUUCGUUACAAAGAGUAUGCAAAAUUAGACUGACUUAUUUUAAUUCAUUUAUAUAUAAUAUAUGGUAGUAUUUGUGAUAAUGUUUGUUAGAACCUAUGAAAAUAAUUUAUAACAUCUAAGUUUAGUUCCAUAAUUUUACAGAAUAGUUUAUAGAAACAACUUAAAAAUAUAUUAAAUAUAAAUGUUUUUUUUUUGUUUUAAAAAAGUAUAUAGAAAUAUUUAUAUUGAUAAGCUUAUAAUAUAUAUAUAUUAUGAAGUAAAAACAUCCUUUGUAUAUUAUAAACGAUUAAUUAUUUUGUUUAUUCAAAUAUGACCUCCUAUAUUAUUUUUUUUUUUGUUGGAAAGACGUCUAAAAACUAAUCAUUUUUGGUGGUGGUCGGGGUUCAACCCAGUAUAUAUUAUGCAUUGUUCCUACCCACUGAGCUAAGCUCAUGAUGACCCAAAAACCAAUCAUUGAUACACGAUAUAUAUAUAUAUAUAUAUAUAUAUAUAUAUAUAUAUUGACAAAAAUAAAUGAUAUGCAUUCAUUCAAAUUGAUAGAGUUCAUCGAUACAAUACUAAUUCGAUAAAAAGAAAAAGAAUGAAUUUGCGAACAAACUCAUAACAUCCAUGUUAAUAUCAUAAAACAACAAAGUACAAAAACAUACUUAUAUGACUAUAUUCAAGUAUCCGGAAUACCCAUGUCUCUAGAUCUGCAACGUGGACGACGCAAAGUCAUAGAUUGAAUCUGCACUGGUCGAAGCGGAUAUGACAAUCUAAACCGAACAAAUACCUGCAUGAAACAAAUAAGACAAACAAUGUUGCACAAAGACGACGAACAAACCAAUGUCGCACUAUGACGGCGAAAUCACAAAAUAAAAAACAAAAUAGAUGUGAAAAUCACUUAUUUCAAUUAAAAGAAAAUAAAAAAGCGAGUUAGAUGGGUGAUUUAGGGUUAAAAACUGACUCUAAAACACCUCUACUUGAUAGAUGAGGGAGAAGAAACUAGAGUUUUGGUGACGGCUCACAAGAAAGAAAAAGAAAAGAGAAAUUUAUAUAACGAUAUAGGUAUCUCUAAGUAAAUUUGUUAAAAAAAAAAAGUGUCACUAAGUAAAACAUAGAUAAAAUAAAGAGAACCAAUAUGGAAAUAUAUAAAAAAAUGCAAACAAAUAGAAGACUAUAGAUAUGUUAAAUAAAUUUUUAGUUAUAAUUUAUUAAAUAAAAAUUUUAUUAAUUUAAUUUGUCAAAAAUAAAACCUUAUUAAUUUAAAUUGACUAAAAAAUGAGUGAUAAUGUGUCAACAAAAUUCACUAGAAUCCCUAGUCGUCACCCAUUUCUUCUUCUUGUCUAUUGAAGAUGAAUGAUUUAGGGUCAAUUCUAACCUAAAAUCACCCAUCCGAAUUGUUUUUCUUUCUUUUCUAGUUGAAUAAGUGAUUUCCAUAUAUUUUUUUAUUGUUCUUUCGUUUGUUUUUGUGAUUUCAUCGUCUUUGCAUGACUCUGUUUAUUUUGAUUUUCCAUCUUAAUGUCGUGUUUAUUUGAUUGAGGUUGAAAUAUUAGCUUUGAUUAGGUGCAAAUCCGAAGACAUGAGUAUUCCAGAGAUUUGAAUAUAGUCAGGUUUGUAGGCAUAAAUACUUUGCAGUUUUAUGUUAACAUGAAUGUUGUGAUUUAUCCUUUUUGUUUUUAGAGACUUUAAAUUUAUAUUAUAUCGAUAUACUCUAUAAAUUAAAAUGAAUGAAUAUCGUUUAUUUUUUUUAAAAAAAGUCAGCAGAAUUAAAAUACUAUGAUUUGCUAAUUUGCUCAUUCACCUAUAUUGUUUAGUUGGUUUAUAUUAGUAAGUUGGAAUAUAUUAUUAUCCAUGAGAUCAUAUGGUUUACGUACUGAUUUAUCUUAUAUUAUUUUUUUUGAAAUAAUUUACAUUAUAUUACUAAAAAAAUGGAAUCGUAUUGGUGGCAUAUGAACUGGGACCGUCAUUGCUGUAUUAUCAUUGCUAUAUGUAGUUUUUAUUUCAUAUGCUUGGGCCUAUAUUAUAUGGUCAGACUGUAUUAUAUUUGGAUCUUCUUACAGGUAAGCUGACUUUUAUAAAAUUUGAAUCAUUAAGAAGGUAACGUUUUCCAUAGGACAAACAUGAGUUACUAUAAUUAGACAUUAUCAUUCCUUUGUUUUUUUCGGAUAAUUUUUUAUAAAUUCUUCUUAUUUCACAUAUAAUAUUUUUUACAUUUCCCUCCCUCUCUACCUCCCUAUAAAUAGCUUGCCAAUUCCAUCGUUUCCUCAUACCAAGUUCAAUAAUCAAAAAUCAUCAUCCAAUAAUAAGAUGAAGAUUAUUCACAUAGUUUUUCUUUUCUUUUUUCUUUCAUUCACUACUUCCCAAGCUUCUGUCAAUGAUUUUUGUGUAGCAGAUUUAAAGGCUCCAGAUACCCCUUCAGGCUAUCAGUGCAAACCCCUAGCAAAUAUCACAUCAGACGAUUUUGUCUUUCAUGGCUUCGUAGCCGGAAACACCAACAACUCUUUCAACGCUGCACUUACCUCCGCAUUCGUCACUGAAUUUCCAGGCCUUAACGGACUAGGAAUCUCAGCAGCGCGGUUAGACAUAGCCGAAAAUGGUUCAAUUCCAAUGCAUACUCAUCCCGGUGCUACCGAAUUAUUGAUAAUAGUUCAAGGUGAAAUAACCGCUGGAUUUCUGACACCUACCUCAGUUUAUUCUAAGACGUUGAAACCGGGUGAUCUUAUGGUUUUUCCACAGGGGAUGUUGCAUUUUCAAAUUAACACUGGUAAGGGAAAAGCUACUGCUUUUCUUACAUUUAGUAGUGCUAACCCUGGUGCUCAAUUACUUGAUCUUCUUUUGUUUUCGAAUAAUUUACCUUCUGAAUUGGUGGCACAAACUACUUUCCUUGAUCUUGCACAAGUGCAGAAGCUAAAGGCACGUUUUGGUGGAAGAGGGUAGGGAUAUGAUAUUGUUUGGUCAUGAUCAUAACCCACUCUCCUUGUGUAAAUGUUUAUUCCAAUAAUCACCUAGUGGUGGAUUUGAUUGUGUGUGUGUGUUAUUUUAUUUUAUUCUAUGUUUUAGCUAUUCCAAAUGUUAUGAUAUAUGGUUACUUGUGAUAAUGAAGUAAUAAAUUGUGUGUGAUACAUUUCUUGGUUC
Molecule: long non-coding RNA, 32914 nt
Filed under: Medicago truncatula (barrel medic)
Lineage: Eukaryota; Viridiplantae; Streptophyta; Magnoliopsida; Fabales; Fabaceae
Description: long non-coding RNA (MTRU_LNC005937)
Source: RNAcentral